This is a non-coding RNA of Phascolarctos cinereus (koala), 426 nucleotides long. NCBI's taxonomy places the organism in Eukaryota, Metazoa, Chordata, Mammalia, Diprotodontia, Phascolarctidae. The record is from RefSeq and is a predicted model, not a curated record.
UUCAGUUAUUAUCCCUGAGCCAACCUCCCCCUCCCCACUAUCCUCUUUGAUGCUCUCCCAACCAACACUGGAGGGUGAUUGGAGGGUCUUGUGCAUAUACCAGUGGCUAUGGACCAGCAUCUGACCAGUUCUCUCGAUGAGCUUGUAGAACAUGAGCUGAGGAAGUUUAAGAGGAAACUAUACCGCAUUGCACUAAAGAAAUGUCAUAAGCUCAUUCCUUGGGGGAAAUUGGAACCUGCCCACUGCAAUGAUCUUGCUCAAAUGCUGGUCAAGUAUUAUGGAGAAAAGUAUGCUCUGGAAGUUACCUUGAAAGUUCUAAAAGCCAUUCACCAACAAGAUGUGGCCAACAUGCUUAUUAAGAAAAUCCAACAGGAAGGAAGUGAUGAGAAUGAUGAUGACAAAGAUGAAAGUGAUGAUGGUGAAAAU